GGAGGGUCAUAGCUCAGAUGUAGAACAUCUGCCUUGCAUGCAGAAGGUCACAGGAUCAACCCCUGGCAUCUCCA
This is a non-coding RNA of Podarcis lilfordi (Lilford's wall lizard), 74 nucleotides long. NCBI's taxonomy places the organism in Eukaryota, Metazoa, Chordata, Lepidosauria, Squamata, Lacertidae. The record is from the annotation of a GenBank genome assembly.